This 511-nucleotide ribosomal RNA is filed under the name uncultured Enterococcus sp. Its description in RNAcentral is "bacterial SSU rRNA". It matches the Rfam family "Bacterial small subunit ribosomal RNA", at positions 28 to 510 of the family's 1533-position model. Lineage: Bacteria; Bacillati; Bacillota; Bacilli; Lactobacillales; Enterococcaceae. The record is from RNAcentral.
GACGAACGCUGGCGGCGUGCCUAAUACAUGCAAGUCGAACGCUUCUUUCCUCCCGAGUGCUUGCACUCAAUUGGAAAGAGGAGUGGCGGACGGGUGAGUAACACGUGGGUAACCUACCCAUCAGAGGGGGAUAACACUUGGAAACAGGUGCUAAUACCGCAUAACAGUUUAUGCCGCAUGGCAUAAGAGUGAAAGGCGCUUUCGGGUGUCGCUGAUGGAUGGACCCGCGGUGCAUUAGCUAGUUGGUGAGGUAACGGCUCACCAAGGCCGCGAUGCAUAGCCGACCUGAGAGGGUGAUCGGCCACACUGGGACUGAGACACGGCCCAGACUCCUACGGGAGGCAGCAGUAGGGAAUCUUCGGCAAUGGACGAAAGUCUGACCGAGCAACGCCGCGUGAGUGAAGAAGGUUUUCGGAUCGUAAAACUCUGUUGUUAGAGAAGAACAAGGACGUUAGUAACUGAACGUCCCCUGACGGUAUCUAACCAGAAAGCCACGGCUAACUACGUGCCA